This 246-nucleotide long non-coding RNA is filed under the name Musa acuminata (dwarf banana). Its description in RNAcentral is "long non-coding RNA (MACU_LNC007181)". Lineage: Eukaryota; Viridiplantae; Streptophyta; Magnoliopsida; Zingiberales; Musaceae. The record is from RNAcentral.
UACUUCUAACCAACUCCUAAUAGGACUCCUACUCAAGACUCCUACUUCUAACCAACUCCUAAUAGGACUCAUACUUCUAACCAACUCCUAAUAUGACUCCUACUCAAGACUCCUAUUCUUUUAUAACUCCUUAUUCUUCUCUAAGAAAUAACCUCCUAACCCUAGCCGGCCACUUCACCUCUUUAAUAGGGGUCGGCUUAGGUAGGUUUUACAUGAAUGUCCCUCUCAAUUAGGACUCUCCUAGCU